GACGAACGCUGGCGGCGUGCUUAACACAUGCAAGUCGAGCGGUAAGGCCCUUUCGGGGGUACACGAGCGGCGAACGGGUGAGUAACACGUGGGUGACCUGCCCUCAGCUCUGGGAUAAGCCUGGGAAACCGGGUCUAAUACUGGAUAUGACUCCAUGACGCAUGUUGUGGGGUGGAAAGCCUUGUGCGGCUGAGGAUGGGCCCGCGGCCUAUCAGCUUGUUGGUGGGGUGAUGGCCUACCAAGGCGACGACGGGUAGCCGGCCUGAGAGGGCGACCGGCCACACUGGGACUGAGACACGGCCCAGACUCCUACGGGAGGCAGCAGUGGGGAAUCUUGCGCAAUGGGCGAAGGCCUGACGCAGCGACGCCGCGUGAGGGAUGAC
Molecule: ribosomal RNA, 383 nt
Filed under: uncultured bacterium
Lineage: Bacteria
Description: bacterial SSU rRNA
Rfam family: Bacterial small subunit ribosomal RNA
Source: RNAcentral